AAGUCGUAACAAGGUUUCCGUAGGUGAACCUGCGGAAGGAUCAUUAACACAAUUUUACUGUGAUAAAAUCCGUUGAAUUCUCUCUCUCGAGAAUUCAAUGGUAUCCACCCCAUUAUUGACGAACUUUUCUUAGAUGUUUCAAAAAACAUAGAGCUUAGUCUUUACGUAUUUUGAAAACAUUCUAAAAACCUUUUUCUUUACCCUAUAACAUUUUUUAACCCCUUUUACAACAUGCCUUAGACUGAAAUGAAAAUUUCUUUAUUAUCAAAAAAUGAUAAAAAACAACUCUUAACAACGGAUAUCUUGGCUCUC
Molecule: unclassified non-coding RNA, 312 nt
Filed under: fungal sp.
Lineage: Eukaryota; Fungi
Description: partial internal transcribed spacer region
Rfam family: Eukaryotic small subunit ribosomal RNA (bases 1-46)
Source: RNAcentral